UGCCAUCUCUCAAGACUAAAUAUUCUCAUUAUAGGAAUCAAUCCUGUGGCAGGUUCCAAGGACACAUGGGACUUUGAGAAAAAAAAAAAAAAGUAGACUUCACUUAAUUCCCAGCUCUGGCUGUUACCAACAGUUUGAUCUAAAGCAGGCUGCCUCGACUCGCUGAAGAAUGGCAGCAAAGAUUAAAACAAGCUAUCAAAUAAUUUUUACUUUCUCAUCGAGGAUUAUUCAGCGAUUCGCAGAGCAACACGGUCAAGAUCAGGCUUGCUUUCCUCAAGUGUCGCCCUCAUGCUACCUGACUUAUCCCUUAUAAAAUACCCUAGGCCAAUUACACAUACGCAACAUCAGGACCACCAUAAAACUCAGCAAAAGCACAGUUCACACUCCCAAACUCCUCCACAGCAACCGGGAUAUGAGAAAAGCAGGGAUCCCCUUGGAAGGAGCAAAACCACAGAAAAUGGAGAAACCUGAG
This is a non-coding RNA of Oryctolagus cuniculus (rabbit), 472 nucleotides long. NCBI's taxonomy places the organism in Eukaryota, Metazoa, Chordata, Mammalia, Lagomorpha, Leporidae. The record is from RefSeq and is a predicted model, not a curated record.